CCAAAAUGGCCCGAGCUGUUCAGUUAGCGAAAAAACAGAGCAAGCAGUUACAUCUCCUCUUACCCCUUCAUUCGACUCCCAUCUUGCCUCCAUCCCCGAGCUCCCUCCAAGGUCAUCCUCACCUUCGUCCCCAAGUGUUCAAAGUGGCCACUGGACUUCGCUACCAUAGGAUUCAAGGCCUUGUUCCCGAACAGCACCAUCUACAAGGGCCUGUGCCGGCCAUCGGUAUAAUUUGGUACUACUACAACUCAUAGUAUUUUCUAAACUAAAAGGGUGCCCCUCCUCCUCGAUCAUCACCAUUAUGACUCCUUGCCCUCUCAUGUCAAGGUAGUAUAUCAGAUGAAUACUGCCCUACUGUUUUUAUUUGCAAAGUUCAACUGCCCGCACCAGAAAGUCGCUAUCAAAUUAUUCUCUCACUCACUCUACCAUUUUCACGUAUGUGGCAGCCUGGCUUUGUGUCUGUCUUCUUCAGUGAAUGCCUGUUAUAUAAUUUUUCUGUCUGGUGCACUUGCAUCUCUAAAUUGUAACAAAUAAAGAGAAAAACCAUUUGUUAAUAGAGGAAAAUCUAUUGAUAUUCAGGUGGUGCAUUCACUUGAUAAGGCACAUCUUCUGCUCACCAAUUUAGCCUUUCUUUCAGUUUUAGCAUUUCUUGUUGUUUUAGUUCAGCAUACCUAUCCAAUUAUGAUAGCACAUUAAGUUCAGCAGAUUAGUUAGCAAUUUAGCCUUUCUUGCUGUUUUUUGAACAUACCAUAUUCUUUUCUCAUGGGUGCUCAAUUUUAAUUAGUUUGUGCUACCAUGGCUGAGGAUAUUUGGACCCUAAAACUUCAAUUUGAGGGGGACCCUCCAGGGCAGAAAAUGGUGCAAAGGGAAAUGGACAAAGAUGAGAUAUGUUUCUUCAACUUGAUUGAACUGAUUGAGGAAUAUGGAUACACAUCAGUUGACUAUGUAUACUACAAGAGAAGAGAUGGUUUGGUUGCAAUACAAUGGGAUUCAGAUGUGAUGCAAAUGCUUGAAGAGAAUGAGAGCAAAAGGAAGGUUAGCUUGUUUGUGACGAAGCAGAGAAUGGCCACCAUAGCACCUACCAAAUUCAAUGAAGAACCUACCAAUUCUGCAGAAAAUAAAAAUAAAGGUAGUAGUAUGAUGAAAAUAAAAGUUGCUCUUUCGUGUAUGUUUGAGCAUCCAGGUAAAACUAACGUACAAUUGUCAUAUUUGAAUGUCAUGCCAUGUCAUGUCAUGUCAUAUGAAAAUAAUUUUGCAGAAUAUAUGUCAUCCAAUAGCAGGUAUGUCAAUUUAACUGAUCCAUGAGCAGUGAUUUUGCAUGUCAUCUUAUCCUAGCAUUGGUGUAUACUAUAAAUAUUCUAUACUCUGGUAUAUGUUUUCACUUCUCCCAUAAUUGUUCAUAGGGAAAAGGGGCACAAAGGAAAAGCAGCCUAAAUGUAAUCCAAAUCAAAGAACAAUAUUAUAAUGAGGUUGAUCAGCACCAUGACAAUACCAUCCAGCAAACACAAGGUGAUGGCAAUAAUGUAAUCAAGCGAAAGGGAACGGUUUUGACACAUGUUUGGGAUUUACCUAAGGAUAAACGUAUAUUAGUGAAAUGCAACCAACUUGGGCAACCUAUUGGAAAAGAAGGUGGUCUGUUAGGCCAAUUUUUAGGAACUAUAGCACGGAACGGUGGUUAUUGCCCAAUAGAUGUCAAUGAUUGGAGAAAGAUAAAGAAGGAUAGUGCUGAAACCAUACUUCAAUGUAUUCAGACAAAGUUCUUGUAUCCUCGAUCAUGUGAGAAAUGGAUACUGAAAUCGAUAGGGAGAGAUUGGAGAAAAUACAAGUCAAUAUUGAAAAAGAAGUUAUUUAGUCCAAAGAAGAAAAGGUCAUACUUAUACAAGCUUUGUCCAGAUGAUAUUGAUGAAGACCAGUGGAAAUCCUUAGUAAAAUAUUGGAAGUCAUCUGAAGGAAAGGUUAGUACAAUAG
This is an RNA transcript of Zea mays, 1968 nucleotides long. RefSeq lists it as uncharacterized. The record is from RefSeq and is marked validated. The transcript is spliced from 4 exons. Lineage: Eukaryota; Viridiplantae; Streptophyta; Magnoliopsida; Poales; Poaceae.